AGUCCCACAUUGCUAAUUUUUGAAUGAUCAUUAAGGCCCAUGACUUAGGUUGGUGACAUCUAUUGCACUUUGGAGGGGUGACAGUCUAAGGUUUACCCAAGUGGUGGAUCCUACGUCAUUAUUUGUUGCAGCGGGACUUGCGUUUACGCAACCCCCUC
Molecule: small nuclear RNA, 158 nt
Organism: Trifolium pratense (red clover)
Lineage: Eukaryota; Viridiplantae; Streptophyta; Magnoliopsida; Fabales; Fabaceae
Product: U1 spliceosomal RNA
Exons: 1
Source: RefSeq, a predicted model, not a curated record